This 627-nucleotide ribosomal RNA is filed under the name Pseudomonas sp. SG-1-12. Its description in RNAcentral is "bacterial SSU rRNA". It matches the Rfam family "Bacterial small subunit ribosomal RNA", at positions 50 to 672 of the family's 1533-position model. The record is from RNAcentral. Lineage: Bacteria; Pseudomonadati; Pseudomonadota; Gammaproteobacteria; Pseudomonadales; Pseudomonadaceae.
UACACAUGCAAGUCGAGCGGUAGAGAGAAGCUUGCUUCUCUUGAGAGCGGCGGACGGGUGAGUAAUGCCUAGGAAUCUGCCUGGUAGUGGGGGAUAACGUUCGGAAACGGACGCUAAUACCGCAUACGUCCUACGGGAGAAAGCAGGGGACCUUCGGGCCUUGCGCUAUCAGAUGAGCCUAGGUCGGAUUAGCUAGUUGGUGGGGUAAUGGCUCACCAAGGCGACGAUCCGUAACUGGUCUGAGAGGAUGAUCAGUCACACUGGAACUGAGACACGGUCCAGACUCCUACGGGAGGCAGCAGUGGGGAAUAUUGGACAAUGGGCGAAAGCCUGAUCCAGCCAUGCCGCGUGUGUGAAGAAGGUCUUCGGAUUGUAAAGCACUUUAAGUUGGGAGGAAGGGCAGUAAAUUAAUACUUUGCUGUUUUGACGUUACCGACAGAAUAAGCACCGGCUAACUCUGUGCCAGCAGCCGCGGUAAUACAGAGGGUGCAAGCGUUAAUCGGAAUUACUGGGCGUAAAGCGCGCGUAGGUGGUUAGUUAAGUUGGAUGUGAAAUCCCCGGGCUCAACCUGGGAACUGCAUUCAAAACUGACUGACUAAAUUAUGGUAGAGGGUGGUGGAAUUUCCU